This 253-nucleotide ribosomal RNA is filed under the name uncultured bacterium. RNAcentral describes it as "partial 16S ribosomal RNA". It matches the Rfam family "Bacterial small subunit ribosomal RNA", at positions 524 to 776 of the family's 1533-position model. The record is from RNAcentral.
UACGGAGGGGGCUAGCGUUGUUCGGAAUUACUGGGCGUAAAGCGCGCGUAGGCGGACCUGCAAGUCGGGUGUGAAAUCUCGGGGCUUAACUCCGAAACUGCAUUCGAUACUGCCGUGCUUGAGGACUGGAGAGGAGACUGGAAUUUACGGUGUAGCGGUGAAAUGCGUAGAUAUCGUAAGGAAGACCAGUGGCGAAGGCGGGUCUCUGGACAGUUCCUGACGCUGAGGCACGAAGGCCAGGGGAGCAAACGGG